UUCCGACUCUGUACAAAACAUUCUAGCCUCGCCCCUGAAGCCGUCUAACUUUCCUGUUUUGGUUUCUUCCCCUACCUCAUUUUCCCCUAACACCUCCCCCGUCGUAGUCACCACUUCCCAGAUCCUUCGCUGUUUUCUCCGAGGUUAAAGAUAGCCUCCUCUCGGCCCCUUUUGUGGGUUAUUCAAACAUCAUGCAAAGGUCUCUAACACGAGAACAUUCGCUUUGACAUUUGGGGCCACUGAUGGCAACUUCAGAACAGCUCAGAGGUUUUCUGAGACACGGAGAUCAAGCUGUCACCUACCAACCUUCUCUCCACGAUAGAGGACUGUAGAAAUAGAAUAUUAGAGCUGGACAGUUGAAAUUCCUUUGCAAGGCUACCCAGAGCUGAUUGUAUCAAGCCACUGAAUAUCAAGCUUAAUAAAAUUACAUAAUUGCACUUCUCUCUCAGUUGAAUUCAUUCAAAUCUACCACCGUUGAACUCCCUCUUCAGAUUCUGAGAGAGGCUGGAAAACUGCUACAGAUCCCAAGCUAUUGGAUGGAUCAUUUAACUUGUGUGAUUUGGAAACUUGCCUGGUGGUCAGACUUUUCUGAGCAGGAUUGAUGUUGAAAUGCAAACUAGAUUUAGACUUCUCAUAUUCUGAGAACUCCAUAAAGCUUCUCCCUUGGUCAGCAAGUUCCCCACUGCUCCCCCGGCCUGCUUUGCAUUUUAAUCCUUUCUUCUCCUCCCCCUAACUCUUGACCUCAUCUUUGUUUAAAAUAUUUUCAUCCUUCAAGGCUCAAUUCACAUCUCAUUUCUCUGGGAGACCUUCUCUGACUACCAUACCCACAAUACUCUCUCUCCUAAUUUUCCAUAAUUCUUAACUAUUUAUAUUACUGCUGGGUCCUGAUUAUAUAAUUCCUAAGAAUGUGAAUGAUGACAUUAUAGCAGUGGUUUAUAUUUCUAUAGCACUUUGAAGUCUGUGAAACUCUUUCCUCAAAACAAUACCUUGUGAGAGGUCAAACCAGUGUUUUUAUUCCUAUGUUACAGAUGGGGAAACUGAGUCUUAGAAAGCUUAUGUACUUGAAUUCACACAGGGAGGGACAGAGGCAAGACUAGAAUCCAGAUCUUUUGACUCCUAAUCUUAUUUUUAUUCCAGUACAUUGUUGCUUUUCUCUACUAAGUAGAUAUUCCAUGUCCAUACCUGUGCUAGGUUUCAUAGGAGGCAGAAAGAUGUUCAGUACCUUUCCUUGAGAAACUCACAGUUUUUUUGGAGUAUAUGAUGAUCUAGAUUUCAAUUUAAAGAAGACACAGGGACCUCACUUGGUUAUAAUAUGUUGAUAAUAUAAUAAGACAAUGUGACAAUGGAGCAAUAAAGAGAGUAUUGGACUUGGAGUUAGAAAGAUUCUGCCAGAAAGUAUCCUGCCAGACACUUACUAGUUGUGUGAUUUUGGAUAAGUCGUUCCCCUCUAUGAGUCUUAUCUUUUUUAAUCUAUAAAAUAAGGCAGUUUGACUUGAUAAUCAAUAAUAUCUCUUCUAUCCCUGAGAAACUAUCAUGCUGAGGUCUUUUUGCCCUGAUUCACAGCAUACCUGAGCUCCAUCUAUAAGUGUUCCAGAUAUUCUAGGUCUGCAACCUGACCUGAGUGAGUCCUGAAUGUUGGGAAUGAGGUUGGGAUUUUUUAUACUCAGGAGAACAAAAAUUACUAAAACCCUUUCAAUCCACACUGACCUGAGGUAAUUACAUUCCAGGCACCUUUGAAUGUAUUAAUCAUGAGUAAGCUAGAGAAUCACACACAGAAGUUGAUAGAGUACACUUUUUGAUUGUAUUUCCCCUCCUCCUUCUAUCAGAAUGGGGAAGUUUGACCAAGUUGUCUCAGGGAAGCAAAGGGAUUUGCAAAAAGAGCAAAAUUCUAUCAAUUGCAUGGAACCUGUGCUUCAUGGUCAAAUCAGAGGUAUUCAUAAGAUAGAGAGCUUUUUGGUUCCACACAGUCAGGAAGUCUUCAUGAAUGAGGCAAGACUAGAGUUGGGUCUUGGAAGAUGGAAGAAUGUAGAUAGGUAAAAAAGGAAGAGAAAGAGCCUUUUAGGAUGUAUAUGAGCAAAGACUGGCUUAUUAAGCAACACUGUCUGCUCCAGAAAUAGAUAAUCUAGCAGAACUCUCUUUCAACUCUGACCUAACCCAAAUAUAUUUUUUUCAAUUUUUAUCAAUUUUUUUAAAGCUUUGAAUUUCAAAUUUUAUCCCUCCUUCCUCUUCCCCUUUCUGAGACAAUAAGUAAUCAGUUAUAAAUUAUACAUGUAUAUUACAUGUACAUUAGACACUAUAUUUAAAUAUGCACAUAUAUAACAUUUCCAUAUUAGUCAUU
Long non-coding RNA from Sarcophilus harrisii (Tasmanian devil), 2338 nucleotides. RefSeq lists it as uncharacterized. The transcript has 3 exons. The record is from RefSeq and is a predicted model, not a curated record. Lineage: Eukaryota; Metazoa; Chordata; Mammalia; Dasyuromorphia; Dasyuridae.